UGACGAGUGGCGGACGGGUGAGUAAUGCUUGGGAAUCUGUCUUAUGGAGGGGGAUAACCAUGGGAAACUGUGGCUAAUACCGCGUAUAAUCGAGAGAUGAAAGGGUGGGAUCGCAAGACCACCUGCCAUAGGGUGAGCCCAAGUGGGAUUAGGUAGUUGGUAAGGUAAAGGCUUACCAAGCCGUCGAUCUCUAACUGGUCUGAGAGGAUGACCAGUCACACUGGGACUGAGACACGGCCCAG
This 242-nucleotide ribosomal RNA is filed under the name uncultured bacterium. RNAcentral's name for it is "partial 16S ribosomal RNA". It matches the Rfam family "Bacterial small subunit ribosomal RNA", at positions 89 to 334 of the family's 1533-position model. The record is from RNAcentral.